This 497-nucleotide ribosomal RNA is filed under the name uncultured bacterium. RNAcentral's name for it is "partial 16S ribosomal RNA". It matches the Rfam family "Bacterial small subunit ribosomal RNA", at positions 28 to 507 of the family's 1533-position model. The record is from RNAcentral.
GAUGAACGCUGGCGGCGUGCCUAAUACAUGCAAGUCGAGCGAACAGACGAGGAGCUUGCUCCUCUGACGUUAGCGGCGGACGGGUGAGUAACACGUGGAUAACCUACCUAUAAUACUGGGAUAACUUCGGGAAACCGGAGCUAAUACCGGAUAAUAUAUUGAACCGCAUGGUUCAAUAGUGAAAGACGGUUUUGCUGUCACUUAUAGAUGGAUCCGCGCCGCAUUAGCUAGUUGGUAAGGUAACGGCUUACCAAGGCAACGAUGCGUAGCCGACCUGAGAGGGUGAUCGGCCACACUGGAACUGAGACACGGUCAAGACUACUACGGGAGGCAGCAGUAGGGAAUCUUCCGCAAUGGGCGAAAGCCUGACGGAGCAACGCCGCGUGAGUGAUGAAGGUCUUCGGAUCGUAAAACUCUGUUAUUAGGGAAGAACAAAUGUGUAAGUAACUAUGCACGUCUUGACGGUACCUAAUCAGAAAGCCACGGCUAACUACGUG